RNAcentral lists this ribosomal RNA (37 nucleotides) under Terminalia bellirica (bibhitaki). RNAcentral describes it as "partial 28S ribosomal RNA". The record is from RNAcentral. Lineage: Eukaryota; Viridiplantae; Streptophyta; Magnoliopsida; Myrtales; Combretaceae. RNAcentral also lists the same sequence under 2 other names.
CGACCUCAGGUCAGGCGGGGCUACCCGCUGAGUUUAA